This 158-nucleotide unclassified non-coding RNA is filed under the name uncultured Ascomycota. RNAcentral's name for it is "sequence contains ITS2". The record is from RNAcentral. Lineage: Eukaryota; Fungi; Ascomycota.
AAAGCCAUCAAGCACAGCUUGGUGUUGGGCGUUUGUCCGGCCGUUUCGGCGCUGGACUCGCCUCAAACCCAUCGGCGGCACGGCGUGGGCUUGCAGCACAGCAGAUGUGUCGUUGCAAGCGCCCGCAGCGGGCCCGCCGCAAAGGCCUCUUUCUCUUG